AUGAUUAAAAUCUUAGGCAAGACUCCUUUUGUACUGGCUUGUGUGGGCAAAAGAAAGCAGUAUAGAGAUUUAUUCUCCCACUGGCAUGAAUGCUGUGAUUCUGACCACCUUCUACAUCACUGUCUACCACCCCUACACCAGCUCCUAGAAGACAGAGUAACUACAGGAUGCUGUGGUACCUGGAGUGAUGCCAGACUGCAGAGGCCACCUAGUGACAUGAGGAGAGAUUCAACCUAACAUGGUGAGGAUGGCAGAGUAGAGCUAAAGUGGAAAAGCAUUUCCCUGAUGAAUUUAAGAAGCCACUGAAUAAAUAUGUCUGGAAGUACCUAACUCUGAACUAAGUGGCUUUAUUUGGUUAAAUUGAGAUUCUACUUCUUGUUGCCAGAAGCAAACUUACUGCUUAAUUCUCAAUAUUAAGAAGUCCUAAUGAUUCCUUCUGUUGCGUCUACCAAAUCUGGUUUUAGAACUCCUGGGACACACAUAUUCUUUACCAUAUAGGAAUCUUUACUAACACUAUUCCAUCUGUGGAAAGUAACUUUUUAUUGCACUGCUACUUAAUGGAACUAUAUUGAUCCUUUUAAUCUAGUCUAAAUCCUAUGACCUGAGAUAGCCUUCCAACAUUCCACCAGUCAAAAUGACUUCCUUUAGUCUAUGUAUUGCACUUGGUUUGGAUUAGCCUUUCUGCAGUUAUCCUUCUUUGCUUUAAUCUAUAUGUAUACAUUAUUGAAUCUCUUCAAAUACAUAUAAACCUUCUUUAAGGUAGAAAUGAAAUAAUUGUUUUCCAAAUGAUUUAAGGAAUCAUGCAUCUUUUUUUCCCGUCAAGAUCUCUCCUACAGCCCUGGUACGGUACCUCUUAGCAGGUGCUCCUCACAAUUUACCCAGUUGGUCAUGUGUGAAAUGAAAAGGUUGAAUUAAAUGAUACUGACAAUCUCUUCUGACUCUAAGGUACAGUGAUGAUGUCUACACUGAAGUGAAACCAUACUUCUCACAGAUAUAUAGAAGUUUGAGAGUUAAACAUAACAAAAGGAAAACUCUAAGCAUGGGUGGUGGUGAAAUACAAAUAUCUUGUAUUUUUUUUUUAAAUCAG
Papio anubis (olive baboon) is the source of this 1087-nucleotide long non-coding RNA. Lineage: Eukaryota; Metazoa; Chordata; Mammalia; Primates; Cercopithecidae. The record is from Ensembl.